ACAUGCAAGUCGAACGGCAGCACAGUGUGUUGCAAUACACAUGGGUGGCGAGUGGUGGACGGGUGAGUAGAAAGUAGGGAUCUGCCUUGUAGAUUGGGACAACUUGGGGAAACUCGAGCUAAUACCAGAUAAGCACUAAGGUGGAAAGCAUGGGACCGAAAGGCCAUGCGCUAUAAGAUGAACCUACGUCGGAUUAGCUAGUUGGUUAGGUAAAAGCUGACCAAGGCGAAGAUCCGUAGCUGGUCUGAGAGGAUGAUCAGCCACACUGGGACUGAGACACGGCCCAGACUCCUACGGGAGGGAGCAGUGGGGAAUAUUGGCCAAUGGGGGAAACCCCGAUCCAGCGAUGCCGCGUU
RNAcentral lists this ribosomal RNA (356 nucleotides) under Pseudomonadota (proteobacteria). RNAcentral's name for it is "bacterial SSU rRNA". It matches the Rfam family "Bacterial small subunit ribosomal RNA", at positions 53 to 403 of the family's 1533-position model. The record is from RNAcentral. Lineage: Bacteria; Pseudomonadati.